AUUGAACGCUGGCGGCAUGCUUUACACAUGCAAGUCGAACGGCAGCGCGGGCUUCGGCCUGGCGGCGAGUGGCGAACGGGUGAGUAAUGCAUCGGAACGUGCCCAGUAGUGGGGGAUAGCCCGGCGAAAGCCGGAUUAAUACCGCAUACGACCUGAGGGUGAAAGCGGGGGACCGAAAGGCCUCGCGCUAUUGGAGCGGCCGAUGUCGGAUUAGCUGGUUGGUGGGGUAAAGGCUUACCAAGGCGACGAUCCGUAGCUGGUCUGAGAGGACGACCAGCCACACUGGGACUGAGACACGGCCCAGACUCCUACGGGAGGCAGCAGUGGGGAAUUUUGGACAAUGGGGGCAACCCUGAUCCAGCCAUGCCGCGUGCGGGAAGAAGGCCUUCGGGUUGUAAACCGCUUUUGUUCGGGAAGAAAUCCUCUGGGCUAAUACCCCGGGGGGAUGACGGUACCGGAAGAAUAAGCACCGGCUAACUACGUG
Molecule: ribosomal RNA, 484 nt
Filed under: uncultured bacterium
Lineage: Bacteria
Description: partial 16S ribosomal RNA
Rfam family: Bacterial small subunit ribosomal RNA
Source: RNAcentral